RNAcentral lists this ribosomal RNA (853 nucleotides) under uncultured Gammaproteobacteria bacterium. RNAcentral describes it as "bacterial SSU rRNA". It matches the Rfam family "Bacterial small subunit ribosomal RNA", at positions 48 to 936 of the family's 1533-position model. The record is from RNAcentral. Lineage: Bacteria; Pseudomonadati; Pseudomonadota; Gammaproteobacteria.
CUUACGCAUGCAGUCGAACGUGAAAACACUUCGGUGUGAGUAGAGUGGCGGACGGGUGAGUAACGCGUGGGAAUCUGCCCAGUAGUGGGGGACAACUACCGGAAACGGUAGCUAAUACCGCAUACGCCCUAUGGGGGAAAGGCUUCGGCCGCUAUUGGAUGAGCCCGCGUCAGAUUAGCUAGUUGGUAGGGUAAAGGCCUACCAAGGCAACGAUCUGUAGCUGGUCUGAGAGGACGAACAGCCACACUGGGACUGAGACACGGCCCAGACUCCUACGGGAGGCAGCAGUGGGGAAUAUUGGACAAUGGGCGAAAGCCUGAUCCAGCAAUGCCGCGUGUGUGAAGAAGGCCUGCGGGUUGUAAAGCACUUUCAGUUGGGAAGAUGAUGACGUUACCAACAGAAGAAGCACCGGCUAAAUCCGUGCCAGCAGCCGCGGUAAUACGGAUGGUGCGAGCGUUAAUCGGAAUUACUGGGCGUAAAGCGCGCGUAGGCGGCUAAGUCAGUCAGAAGUGAAAGCCCCGGGCUCAACCUGGGAAUUGCUUUUGAUACUGCUUGGCUAGAGUUUGGUAGAGGAUAGUGGAAUUCCAGGUGUAGCGGUGAAAUGCGUAGAUAUCUGGAGGAACAUCAGUGGCGAAGGCGACUGUCUGGACCAAAACUGACGCUGAGGUGCGAAAGCGUGGGUAGCAAACAGGAUUAGAUACCCUGGUAGUCCACGCCGUAAACGAUGUCAACUAGCCGUCGGGUCUAUUUACAGACUUGGUGGCGCAGCUAACGCGAUAAGUUGACCGCCUGGGGAGUACGGCCGCAAGGUUAAAACUCAAAGGAAUUGACGGGGGCCCGCACAAGCGGUGGA